UACGGAGGGGGCUAGCGUUGUUCGGAAUUACUGGGCGUAAAGCGCACGUAGGCGGAUUGCUAAGUCGGGGGUGAAAUCCUGAGGCUCAACCUCAGAACUGCCUUCGAUACUGGCGAUCUCGAGUACGGGAGAGGUGAGUGGAAUUCCCAGUGUAGAGGUGAAAUUCGUAGAUAUUGGGAAGAACACCAGUGGCGAAGGCGGCUCACUGGCCCGUAACUGACGCUGAGGUGCGAAAGCGUGGGGAGCAAACAGG
This 253-nucleotide ribosomal RNA is filed under the name uncultured bacterium. Its description in RNAcentral is "partial 16S ribosomal RNA". It matches the Rfam family "Bacterial small subunit ribosomal RNA", at positions 524 to 776 of the family's 1533-position model. The record is from RNAcentral.